RNAcentral lists this ribosomal RNA (831 nucleotides) under Rhizophydium sp. PL-AUS-18. RNAcentral describes it as "eukaryotic LSU rRNA". It matches the Rfam family "Eukaryotic large subunit ribosomal RNA", at positions 107 to 939 of the family's 3401-position model. The record is from RNAcentral. Lineage: Eukaryota; Fungi; Chytridiomycota; Chytridiomycetes; Rhizophydiales; Rhizophydiaceae.
GCCUAAAUUUGAAAUCUCAGCGCAAGCCUGCGAAUUGUAGUUUAGAGAAACAGUUUCUGGGACCGGCCAGCCAGAUACAAGAUUCUUUGGAACAAGGCAUCACAGAGGGUGAAAAUCCCGUCGUUUGACUGGCAGCUUGGUUCCAUGUGAUACGUUUUCCAAGAGUCGGUUUGUUUGGGAAUGCAGACCAAAAUGGGGUGGUAAAUACCAUCUAAAGCUAAAUAUUGGCGAGAGACCGAUAGCGAACAAGUACCGUGAGGGAAAGAUGAAAAGAACUUUGAAAAGAUAGUUAAAUAGUGCGUGAAAUUGUCAAAAGGGAAACGUUUAAAACCAGUAUUGCGGGCAGAAACUCAGGUUCCAUUUAUGGUGCUGUAUUUUUCUGUCAGCGAGUCAACAUCAGUUUUGCUUGGAGUAAAACGCCAGGGGAAGGUAGCCUUCGGGUGUUAUAGCCUCUGGUAAUGCUCUGGGCGGGACUGAGGACUGCAGCGUUCUUUGGGUUUACCACACCAACGCUUAGGAUGUUGACGAAAUGGUUUUAGCGACCCGUCUUGAAACACGGACCAAGGAGUCUAACAUAUAUGCAAGUAUUUGGGUGGCAAACCCUUAUGCGCAAUGAAAGUGAAAAGGUGGGAUCCUUUGUUGGUGCACCAUCGACCGCGCCAGAUUAUUGCUAUCUCGGCGUGAGUAUGAGCAUACAUGUUGGGACCCGAAAGAUGGUGAACUAUGCCUGAAUAGGGUGAAGCCAGAGGAAACUCUGGUGGAGGCUCGUAGCGGUUCUGACGUGCAAAUCGACUCGUCAAAUUUGGGUAUAGGGGCAGAAAGCUAAUCAGA